Molecule: long non-coding RNA, 541 nt
Filed under: Zonotrichia albicollis (white-throated sparrow)
Lineage: Eukaryota; Metazoa; Chordata; Aves; Passeriformes; Passerellidae
Description: lncRNA (ENSZALG00000007679.1)
Source: RNAcentral
GUUGCCUCAAGCUUUAACAAGGGAGGCUCAUGGUCUUGCACCCAUCUUCAAGACAAAUGCCCAGCUUCAAACCAGGAAAAAUAAGAAGGAGCACUGGCAGCAUGAGACCCUGGGGCCACUGACAGGCCCACCUGCUGACAGACUGGCCCUGCCCUGCCCAAGAAAACACCGUUUCCAAGCUAAUUAUUACUGCCCUUAUCAGUGGCACUGUCAGAGCUCCUGAUGCACUGCUGGGCUGGGCAAGAGGCACAGCAGCUUCCAGCAGCCACAAGCUACAUGAAGGUGCUCAUGGAGAAGAGGAAGAGAGAGGCAUGCGCUGCCUUCGUGUUUGGAAACUUUCAUUUUUGAUGCUGUGGGUGUGCUGCCAGCACAGGAGGGAUGGCAGCAGGGCUGUGCCUGGUCAGUGUCCCUGUGCCCGGGCUGUGACAGGGGUGGGACACUGCUGACAUCACCUGAGAGGCUGCCGAGCCAUUCUCAGAAAUUGAAAAAGGCACCAACUGGAAAUGACCAUUUAGCACUAUAAAAUGACUUUGUUAUUCAU